Non-coding RNA from Gopherus flavomarginatus (Mexican gopher tortoise), 951 nucleotides. The record is from the annotation of a RefSeq genome assembly. NCBI's taxonomy places the organism in Eukaryota, Metazoa, Chordata, Testudines, Testudinidae.
GCAGAUGGCGCUAGAAUGCUCACAAUCCUCACCUGCGAACCCGGGAUAAUUCCGCCAGUUUGAGAUCUGGGCUCGGCUGUCCUCAAUGAACCCAGCCCAGCCCAGGUCACCGAGCUGCUGUUCCGCCCCGGGGCAGACAAUGAAACAGCAGCCUCUGUAGGCGGAGAAUCCUUCCCCUGAGAAGGGGGUAACCUGAGGGGAGGGAGAAUUCUCGUUUCCGCCGGUCUCCUCCCUGCAGACCUUUCUCGGAUUGACUCUGCCUCGGAAUAUUCCUCUGCCAGGGAGAGAAGAAACGGAGCUCGCCAUGGGCUCGGGGAGAGGAGCUGCUCUGUGGAGCCUUCUCCUCACCUUUGCGUUUCUCUUUUCCUGCUGCGAAGCCCAAGUGGUUCAGAGCCCUGAGUCGCUGGAUACUGGGGAAGGGAAGGUCUCCACCAUGUCAUGCUCCUUCACCAGCGCUUUCCAAGCCUUCCAGUGGUACCAGCAGCUGCCUGGGCAAGGGCCGACUCAUCUGCUGACUGCGAGCUCUAAUGAGAAUGCCACUGUGGGGCGGUUCAUAGGCGAGCGCCUGGAAAGUGGGAAACGCAGCUCCCUGCACAUCACCGACUCCCAGCUGGGGGACUCAGGCAGCUACCUCUGUGCGGUGGAUGCACAGUGACACAGGCAGAGCUGGUCUCAGGGCAAAAACUCUCAUCCUCUGACAGGCAGUUUAGGGGAGGAGAUGGAACGGCAGUUCCCCAGAUGGCUUAAAGUAGCAUAAUUCCAUGGCAGCCAAGGGGACAGAUCCUCAGCCGUUAUAAAUGAAAACAGCUGUAGUGGAGUCAACGGGGCCACAACGUGAGGACCAGGGGACUGGAACCCAGGUCUUCAGAUCAUGGGACAACUGUGUGAAGAUCAGCAUAAAUCCAGAGUCACUCCACAUGUGUUCAUUGUGGUGACUAGAGUACAAGAAAU